This 77-nucleotide transfer RNA is filed under the name bacterium. Its description in RNAcentral is "tRNA-Pro". It matches the Rfam family "tRNA". Rfam says of the family: Transfer RNA (tRNA) molecules are approximately 80 nucleotides in length. Their secondary structure includes four short double-helical elements and three loops (D, anti-codon, and T loops). Further hydrogen bonds mediate the characteristic L-shaped molecular structure. tRNAs have two regions of fundamental functional importance: the anti-codon, which is responsible for specific mRNA codon recognition, and the 3' end, to which the tRNAs corresponding amino acid is attached (by aminoacyl-tRNA synthetases). tRNAs cope with the degeneracy of the genetic code in two manners: having more than one tRNA (with a specific anti-codon) for a particular amino acid; and 'wobble' base-pairing, i.e. permitting non-standard base-pairing at the 3rd anti-codon position. RNAcentral also lists the same sequence under 2 other names. The record is from RNAcentral.
CGGGGCGUAGCGCAGUCUGGUAGCGCAUCUGCUUUGGGAGCAGAGGGUCGCUGGUUCAAAUCCAGUCGCCCCGACCA